This 261-nucleotide ribosomal RNA is filed under the name uncultured archaeon. RNAcentral's name for it is "partial 16S ribosomal RNA". It matches the Rfam family "Archaeal small subunit ribosomal RNA", at positions 748 to 1008 of the family's 1478-position model. The record is from RNAcentral.
CAGCCGUAAACUAUGCGCGUUAGGUGUACUGGUGACCACGAGUCACCGGGGUGCCGAAGGGAAACCGUGAAACGUGCCGCCUGGGAAGUACGGUCGCAAGGCUGAAACUUAAAGGAAUUGGCGGGGGAGCACCGCAACGGGUGGAGCCUGCGGUUUAAUUGGACUCAACGCCGGAAAUCUCACCGGAUAGGACAGACAUAUGAUAGUCGGGCUGAAGACUCUACUUGAUGAUCUGAGAGGUGGUGCAUGGCGUCAGUGACU